AACGGCCAUACCAUGCUGAAUAUACCGGUUCUCGUUAGAUCACCGAAGUCAAGCAUCAUUGGGCGCGGUCAGUACUUGGGUGGGUGACCACCUGGGAACACCGCGUAC
This 108-nucleotide ribosomal RNA is filed under the name Caerostris extrusa. The record is from RNAcentral. Lineage: Eukaryota; Metazoa; Arthropoda; Arachnida; Araneae; Araneidae.